RNAcentral lists this ribosomal RNA (460 nucleotides) under uncultured bacterium. RNAcentral's name for it is "partial 16S ribosomal RNA". It matches the Rfam family "Bacterial small subunit ribosomal RNA", at positions 338 to 795 of the family's 1533-position model. The record is from RNAcentral.
CCUACGGGGGGCAGCAGUGAGGAAUAUUGGUCAAUGGACGAGAGUCUGAACCAGCCAAGUAGCGUGAAGGAUGACUGCCCUACGGGUUGUAAACUUCUUUUAUAUGGGAAUAAAAUGUUCCACGUGUGGGAUUUUGUAUGUACCAUAUGAAUAAGGAUCGGCUAACUCCGUGCCAGCAGCCGCGGUAAUACGGAGGAUCCGAGCGUUAUCCGGAUUUAUUGGGUUUAAAGGGAGCGUAGGUGGGUUGUUAAGUCAGUUGUGAAAGUUUGCGGCUCAACCGUAAAAUUGCAAUUGAAACUGGCAGACUUGAGUACAGUAGAGGGAGGCGGAAUUCGUGGUGUAGCGGUGAAAUGCGUAGAUAUCACGAAGAACUCUGAUGGCGAAGGCAGCUUCCUGAACUGCAACUGACACUGAGGCUCGAAAGUGUGGGGAUCAAACAGGAUUAGAUACCCUUGUAGUC